GUGUGUGUGUGUGUAUCCGCAAUACAUUGGAACGAUACAGAGAAGAUUAGCAUGGGCCCUGCGCAAGGAUGAUGCGCAAAUACGUGAAGCCUUCCAUAUUUUU
Small nuclear RNA from Octopus sinensis (East Asian common octopus), 103 nucleotides. The record is from RefSeq and is a predicted model, not a curated record. NCBI's taxonomy places the organism in Eukaryota, Metazoa, Mollusca, Cephalopoda, Octopoda, Octopodidae.